Ornithodoros turicata is the source of this 1706-nucleotide long non-coding RNA. RefSeq lists it as uncharacterized. The record is from RefSeq and is a predicted model, not a curated record. NCBI's taxonomy places the organism in Eukaryota, Metazoa, Arthropoda, Arachnida, Ixodida, Argasidae. The transcript is spliced from 5 exons.
CUUCGGUAACGCGCUGUGGUCGUUUUGUUUCAGGGCGUUUUUCGGCGUUACAGUGUUGUGGCUUGACCCAGCGACUCUGGAGCGCAAAUCUGCUGCAUUAUGCUGUAAGCGGAUCAAAGGGAGGGUAACAUACGAUGUCAUUGCUCGAAUGUCGGAGCUCGAAACUACGUUCACAGAAUAUAGGGUUCAGAACAAAGUCGUCAAAGUGAUCACUGACAACGGGUUGAACUUCCUAAAAGCCUUUCGGGUAUUUGGGACAGACGAUGAAGAGGAGUCUGAAGGGCAACAUCACGACCUGACGUCAAUUUUAGAUCAGGGGCAGCCGCUCCGCCUCCCAUCGCAUCAGAGGUGCGCCGCUCACACCCUUAAUUUGGUGGCAACAGUUGACAUCAAGGAAGAGGACGAAGCUCCAUCUUACCAUUUUCUCUCCAAAUCCGUUGCGGCCAAAUGUCAUAGCCUGUGGACUAAACAGAGUCAGUCCACCUUAGUGGCAGAUGUUAUUCACGAUCUAUGUGGCAGAUAUCUAGUUCUUCCUGUCGCCACCCGAUGGAACUCGCACCAGGAGGCGAUGCCCCCCCCCAGUGCAUCAAUGAGCUUCUCACGGAAAAGGCUGACGCUCUGGGGGAAGUUUUCCAGCGGCUGAAACUACCGGAAUUCCGCCGCCCCACCGAAUCUGAAUUUAUAAGCGAGCAGUGUCAGGUUUUGAAGCCUCUCGCGACUGCCCUGGAUAUACUACAGGCAGGAAACAAUACUAUGUACCUUGGGUACUUGCUUCCUACGUUGGCUGCCCUGAGAAGGAAGCUGAUGUUGCUCCCAACACUCUUCUACUGCGAAGCCUUGAGGACGGCCAUUUAAGUGGGAUACAGAAGCGGUUUGGAAACGCUAUGGAGGAUAAGUUCUUGGUAAUGAGCGCUAUCCUCGUUCCACGGUUCAAGCUGCACUGGGUAGCUGAGGCUCAGGAAGCCUAAAGCGAGAGCUUGCGCAGGCUUCGCGCACAGACGUCGCGCCGUCAAAGGAAGCUUCCGUCUCCGGAGAUAGCGAGGAUUUCUUUUCCUUCACAGGCAGCGACUUCGGCUCAAUGGUCGAAAAAAACAGAGGACAGGAGCUGAACAGAUACCUGGACGAUGAGCUCACAGACGUCACUGCCGUUCUCAGAUACCCAAAUAUCUGUGAACUUUUCUUGAAGUACAAUGCUGGUGUGCCGUCGAGUGCAUCUGUGAAGCGAUUGUUCAUUGUUGCAGGAAAUGUUUUUCAAAGGAUGAGAGGACGGUUGUCCGAUGAGCACUUCGAAAUGCAGCUGCUCCUGCGUGCAAAUAAAGCAUAUGCCUGAUUUGCAGGCAUAUUUUGACGCUUCUGUGGCCGUUUAUUUUUUAAGUAUCUUAUAAGUAUCUUAAAUGCAUUUCAUAGUAUUUACUACUCUACUCUAAAUGCUUUCAUUUCUAACACUCUUUACUCUAUUUUAGAUACAUUUCUAACUACGUAUUUAGUAACGUAUUUUAAAUACUUUUUUGUUGUAUCUUCUAAAUGUAAUUGUAAUAUUCCUUUAUUCACAAAGAUGUGAAAAGGAGCGAGCAAAAAGCUUCACUUGAAGCUUGACGAGGCUCGUCUCCUACAACAGUACAGCAGCAAAGGCGUACACAUUAACAAUGUAAAGAAUUUCAUCGAUGAAUAGUAUUUACAAACACAAAAGGACGGUAACGCCCUUU